GACGAACGCUGGCGGCGUGCCUAAUACAUGCAAGUAGAACGCACAGUUUAUACCGUAGCUUGCUACACCAUAAACUGUGAGUUGCGAACGGGUGAGUAACGCGUAGGUAACCUGCCUGGUAGCGGGGGAUAACUAUUGGAAACGAUAGCUAAUACUGCAUAAUAUUGAUUAUUGCAUGAUAAUUGAUUGAAAGAUGCUAUUGCAUCACUACCAGAUGGACCUGCGUUGUAUUAGCUAGUAGGUGAGGUAACGGCUCACCUAGGCGACGAUACAUAGCCGACCUGAAGGGGUGAUCGGCCACACUGGGUCUGAGACACGGCCCAGACUCCUGCGGGGGGCAGCAGUAGGGAAUCUUCGGCAAUGGACGAAAGUCUGACCGAGCAACGCCGCGUGAGUGAAGAAGGUUUUCGGAUCGUAAAGCUCUGUUGUAAGAGAAGAACGGGUGUGAGUGUAGAAAGUACAAACUGGGACGGUAUCUGACCAGAAAGGGACGGCUAACUACGU
This 504-nucleotide ribosomal RNA is filed under the name uncultured bacterium. RNAcentral describes it as "partial 16S ribosomal RNA". It matches the Rfam family "Bacterial small subunit ribosomal RNA", at positions 28 to 506 of the family's 1533-position model. The record is from RNAcentral.